AUACGGAGGGUGCGAGCGUUAAUCGGAAUUACUGGGCCUAAAGCGUACGUAGGCGGUUGGUUAAGUUAGAUGUGAAAGCCCCGGGCUUAACCUGGGAACUGCAUUUAAAACUGGCGAACUAGAGUUGAGUAGAGGGGAGUGGAAUUUCAGGUGUAGCGGUGAAAUGCGUAGAGAUCUGAAGGAACACCAGUGGCGAAGGCGACUCCCUGGACUCGAACUGACGCUGAGGUACGAAAGCGUGGGUAGCAAACGGGAUUAGAUACCCCAGUAGUCC
This 274-nucleotide ribosomal RNA is filed under the name uncultured bacterium. RNAcentral's name for it is "partial 16S ribosomal RNA". It matches the Rfam family "Bacterial small subunit ribosomal RNA", at positions 523 to 796 of the family's 1533-position model. The record is from RNAcentral.